AGUAACCAACAAGCAAAGAAGAGAAUCAAGCUUAAACCCUUGAUUCCUAGUAGAGAGAGAAAUUCCUAGAGAGAGAGGGAGUGAGAGAGAAGCCAAACCCUACUCUUGAACUCCCAGCACCCUUGGGUAGCUUCAGGAGUCGAGCUGAGACUUAAGAGGAUAAGCACAAGAGCCCAAAAGACCAAAUGACCCCUGCUGCCACGCACCUGCUGACUUU
RNAcentral lists this long non-coding RNA (217 nucleotides) under Ananas comosus (pineapple). RNAcentral's name for it is "long non-coding RNA (ACOM_LNC018011)". Lineage: Eukaryota; Viridiplantae; Streptophyta; Magnoliopsida; Poales; Bromeliaceae. The record is from RNAcentral.